This 131-nucleotide small nuclear RNA is filed under the name Meriones unguiculatus (Mongolian gerbil). Its description in RNAcentral is "U1 spliceosomal RNA (ENSMUGG00000002706.1)". It matches the Rfam family "U1 spliceosomal RNA". Rfam says of the family: U1 is a small nuclear RNA (snRNA) component of the spliceosome (involved in pre-mRNA splicing). Its 5' end forms complementary base pairs with the 5' splice junction, thus defining the 5' donor site of an intron. The record is from RNAcentral. Lineage: Eukaryota; Metazoa; Chordata; Mammalia; Rodentia; Muridae.
UUACUUACCUGGCAGAAGAGACACUGCGACCAGGAAGGUGGUUCUCCCGGGGCGAGGCUCAGCCAUUGCACUUGGUGUUCUUACAACCCAGAACCACCUGCCUACGGAUGGUGCCGCCUAGACUGCAGUGC